AGAGUUUGAUCAUGGCUCAGGACGAACGCUGGCGGCGUGCUUAACACAUGCAAGUCGAACGAUGAAGCCCAGCUUGCUGGGCGGAUUAGUGGCGAACGGGUGAGUAAUACGUGAGUAACCUACCUUUAACUCUGGGAUAAGCCUUGGAAACGGGGUCUAAUACCGGAUAUGACCAACCCUCGCAUGGGGUGUUGGUGGAAAGGGAUUUUGUACUGGUUUUAGAUGGGCUCACGGCCUAUCAGCUUGUUGGUGAGGUAACGGCUCACCAAGGCGACGACGGGUAGCCGGCCUGAGAGGGUGACCGGCCACACUGGGACUGAGACACGGCCCAGACUCCUACGGGAGGCAGCAGUGGGGAAUAUUGCACAAUGGGCGCAAGCCUGAUGCAGCGACGCCGCGUGAGGGAUGACGGCCUUCGGGUUGUAAACCUCUUUCAGCAGGGGAGAAGCGAAAGUGACGGUACCUGCAGAAGAAGCGCCGGCUAACUACGUGCCAGCAGCCGCGGUAAUACGUAGGGCGCGAGCGUUGUCCGGAAUUAUUGGGCGUAAGGAGCUUGUAGGCGGUUUGUCGCGUCUGCUGUGAAAGCCCGGGGCUUAACCCCGGGUUUGCAGUGGGUACGGGCAGACUAGAGUGCAGUAGGGGAGACUGGAAUUCCUGGUGUAGCGGUGGAAUGCGCAGAUAUCAGGAGGAACACCAAUGGCGAAGGCAGGUCUCUGGGCUGUAACUGACGCUGAGAAGCGAAAGCAUGGGGAGCAAACAGGAUUAGAUACCCUGGUAGUCC
RNAcentral lists this ribosomal RNA (781 nucleotides) under uncultured bacterium. RNAcentral describes it as "bacterial SSU rRNA". It matches the Rfam family "Bacterial small subunit ribosomal RNA", at positions 8 to 796 of the family's 1533-position model. The record is from RNAcentral.